RNAcentral lists this ribosomal RNA (301 nucleotides) under uncultured bacterium. RNAcentral describes it as "partial 16S ribosomal RNA". It matches the Rfam family "Bacterial small subunit ribosomal RNA", at positions 509 to 807 of the family's 1533-position model. The record is from RNAcentral.
CAGCCGCCGCGGUAAUACGAGGGGGGCAAGCGUUGUUCGGAAUUAUUGGGCGUAAAGCGUGCGCAGGCGGUUCGUUAAGACAGAUGUGAAAUCCCCGGGCUUAACCUGGGAACUGCAUUUGUGACUGGCGAGCUAGAGUAUGGCAGAGGGGGGUAGAAUUCCACGUGUAGCAGUGAAAUGCGUAGAGAUGUGGAGGAAUACCGAUGGCGAAGGCAGCCCCCUGGGCCAAUACUGACGCUCAUGCACGAAAGCAUGGGGAGCAAACAGGAUUAGAUACCCCCGUAGUCCCUGUCUCUUAUAC